This 458-nucleotide ribosomal RNA is filed under the name uncultured bacterium. RNAcentral's name for it is "bacterial SSU rRNA". It matches the Rfam family "Bacterial small subunit ribosomal RNA", at positions 1050 to 1509 of the family's 1533-position model. The record is from RNAcentral.
UGUCGUCAGCUCGUGUCGUGAGAUGUUGGUUAAGUCCCGCAACGAGCGUAACCCUCAUCCUUAGUUGCAUCAGGUAAUGCUGAGCACUUUAAGGAAACUGCUAGUGAUAAACUGGAGGAAGGUGGGGAUGAUGUCAAGUCAUCAUGGCCCUUAUGGAGUGGGCUACACACGUGCUACAAUGGUGGCUGCAAUGGGCUGCAAAGUCGCGAGGCCAAGCUAAUCCCUUAAAAGCCAUCUCAGUUCGGAUUGUACUCUGCAACUCGAGUGCAUGAAGUUGGAAUCGCUAGUAAUCGUGGAUCAGCAUGCCGCGGUGAAUACGUUCUCGGGUCUUGUACACACUGCCCGUCACGCCAUGGGAAUUGGUUUCACUCGAAGCUAAUGACCUAACCGCAAGGAGGGAGUUAUUUAAAGUGGGAUCAGUGACUGGGGUGAAGUCGUAACAAGGUAGGCGUACUACA